CCAAGGUGCCUUAACCUUUUGUACCCAGUCCGAGGCACGGGCGCCCGGAUCCUGCUGCCCUGCCACGUGCGCGGGUCUGACCGCUCCCACCCAGACACCCAGGAGCGCUGGCCCCCUGCCUCCUCCCCCAUCGCCCGACCUUUCCCAAAUGAACAACAGUAGAAAGACUCGGGGCUUUGGAAUCAGAUUCGCUGGGCUCCAGCUCAGGAUUCUCUGCUUUUUAGGUGGGUGGUCUUGGACAAACUCGGAUGCUGUGUUCCAGUUUGCAAAAUGGAGAGCCGCUGUCUCGUGAGGUUGCUGGCAGGAUUUAUUGACACCGGCAGGAAUUUACGCCUCCAACCCAAACCUCAGAGUAAAGCCUAACCCUGACUUGGGGCCCUGCCGCCCCGCACCUCCCUGCCCCCCCCCGGCCACCCCCCCCCCACCCCGCCCCAGUUCUCAUCCAGUCUUUGCUGGGCGAUGCUCCCAACAACGGAUCCUGGCUCUGCCUCCAAACGAUGGUGGGACCUCUCAAAAGACCUCGGUUUUGAAAUGAGAGCGACAGUGCCUGGCCUACCUUCGUGGGGAAGAUGAUGUCAUGAGGCCUAAUGAGAUCACAUCCGUGACAAUGCUGUGGAAUUACAGCUCUCUCCAUCAGCUGACUCCCCACGCUGGUAUCCACCCUCCCUGGCCCUUUCCUGGCGCCCCUCUGUGAUCCCAGGAACGGAGCUGUGGAUGUGAACGGAGCUUGGACGCCCCCACUUCUGGCUGACUUCACUCCACCCCAUCCUCCAGCUUCUGAGGAACAAAAGGGUUGAAGCUGGACUCACAGAGGAAGGUCACCUCCACCAACACACAGGGAGGCUCCAAGUACAGUACGAAUGGACCCAAAGCAGAGCACUUAUAGAAGCAGAGUCACUGAAAUAAAGUGCAAGAGUCAAAUUGCCCAGUUUCCAGUGUAAAGAAGCCAGAAGAGCCACAGGCUGCUCAUGUAGGAAAUGGGAGGCACGCAUUGAUGAGCAAACGCAUGUAAAGUGUUUAGCAAGGGUUUGCCGUAUACUAAGCAUUCAAUCAGUGGUAGCAAUGUUAAUAGUUUGUAUUAACAAUAAUAACUUCAGUGUCCUAUUUUUUUUAAUUUUUAUUGAAAUGUAGUUGAUUUACAGUGUUGUGUUAGUUUCAGGUGUCAAUGUCCUAUUUUUAAUGUUACAAGGAAUUUUUAGUAGUCUGUGCCAACUGUCAAUGCCAUUACACAUAGCCCGGCACAAAAGGAGAAUUUCUUUCAUUGUUUGGGAUAAAUGCCUAUUUACUCAGCAAGUUUAAAGUCUUGAGACACGUGGUAUUCAACUGUUCAAUAAAAUUCUGUUUAAAAAAAGAUGGUGAGACG
Eubalaena glacialis (North Atlantic right whale) is the source of this 1363-nucleotide long non-coding RNA. RefSeq lists it as uncharacterized. The transcript has 3 exons. Lineage: Eukaryota; Metazoa; Chordata; Mammalia; Artiodactyla; Balaenidae. The record is from RefSeq and is a predicted model, not a curated record.